Formica exsecta is the source of this 664-nucleotide long non-coding RNA. RefSeq lists it as uncharacterized. The transcript has 5 exons. The record is from RefSeq and is a predicted model, not a curated record. Lineage: Eukaryota; Metazoa; Arthropoda; Insecta; Hymenoptera; Formicidae.
UGAGUGAUAUAUGCAUAAUCGAAAUUCCGUAUUUUUGUCACGGACAAUGAUCGUAACAAGGUUUGAUGGCGAUAACAGAUAUGUGUUAUAACGACUCCGAUUAAUUGGCGAAUAUGAAAAUCACAAAGGAAUAUCGAGUGUCGAAAAUCGGAAAUGCCGAAAGUCGAGAGUGUCGAAAAUCGGAAAUGUUUAAAAUCGGGAGUUUUGAAAAUCGAAUAUGUUAAAAAUCGGAAGCGUCGAAAAUCGGGAGUGCCGAAAAUCGAAAGUCAAAAAUCGGGAGUGCCGAAAACCGGAAGUGUCGAAAAUCGGGAAUGCGUUACGAUAUCGAUAAUCGGGAAACAUUAUUAUAAUAUCGCGAAUUUAAAUGUCUUCGGAUUUGUUCUCAACCCGAUGUCAACGAAUAUUGGCUGGUGCAGCAUGUAGCAAUAUGCCGAUGCAACUUGGAAAUAAAUGCCGUUUCGUACCAAGCCUCGAUUCCCUCGCUGAGAAAUUUCACCUCUUACUACUCUCAGUCACGAUUUCUUCGUUUCGACAGGAGGAAGAUGGAGAUAUCACGUCGCGGAAUUCGAUCAAUACUUCAACGUAAUCAACUUCGCUGUUGUACAUUGACUGGUGAGUAACAAAAAUUUUCAUUUAAUGGUAAAUAAAAAACGUCAAAUGCAUA